Molecule: ribosomal RNA, 1750 nt
Filed under: Capsicum baccatum
Lineage: Eukaryota; Viridiplantae; Streptophyta; Magnoliopsida; Solanales; Solanaceae
Description: bacterial SSU rRNA
Rfam family: Eukaryotic small subunit ribosomal RNA
Source: RNAcentral
CCUGGUUGAUCCUUCCAGUAUUUAUAUACUUGUCUCAAAGACUAAGCUAUGCAUGUGUAAGUAUGCACAAAUUCAGACUGUGAGACUGCUUGGAUAAUUGUAGUAAUUCUAGAGCUAACACAUGUAACAAACCUUGACUUCUAUAAGGGAUGAAUUUAUUAGAUAAAAGGUUGAUGCGGGAUCUACCUUCUGCUGCAAUGAUUCAUGAUAACUCAACAGAUCGCACGACCAUCAUACCGGCGAUGCAUUAUUCAAAUUUUUUUCCUAUUAACUUUCGAUGGUAGGAUAGUGACCUACCAUGGUUGUAAUGGCUGAUAGAGAAUUAGGGUUUAAUUCUGGAGAGAGAGCCUUAUAAAUGGAUACCACAUUCAUGGAAGGCAGCAGGCGCCUAAAUUACCCAAUCCUAACACGGGGAGGUAGUGACAAUAAAUAAAAAUACCGAGAUCAAUGAGUCUUGUAAUAGGAAUGAGUACAAUCUAAAUCCUUUAAUAAAGAUCCAUUGGAGGGCAAGUCUGGUGCCAGCAGCCAUGGUAUAUCCAGCUCCAAUAGCAUAUAUUUAAGUUGUUGCAGUUAAAAAACUCUUAGUUGGACUUUAGGAUGGGCUGACUGGUCCUCCUAUGGUAUGCACCGGUCGUCUCGUCCCUUCUAUCGGUGAUGUGCUCCUAGCCUUAACUGGUUGGGUCGUGCCUUCGGCGCUGUUACUUUGAAGAAAUUAGAGUGCUAAAAUCAAGCCUACGCUUUGUAUACAUUAGCAUAGGAUAUCAUCAUAGGAUUUUGGUCCUAUUACAUUGGCCUUCGGGAUCAGAGUAAUGAUUAACAGGGACAGUCGGGGGAAUUCAUAUUUCAUUGUCAUAGGUGAAAUUCUUGGAUUUAUGAAAGACAAAACUGUGAUAGCAUUUUCCAAGGAUGUUUUCAUUAUUCAUGAACGAAAGUUGGGGGUUCGAAGACGAUCAGAUACCCAUCCUAGUCUCAACCCUAAAUGAUGCCGACCAGGGAUCGGCGGAUGUUGCUUUUAGGACUCCGCCGGCACCUUAUGAGAAAUCAAAGUUUUCGGAUUCCGGGGGGAGUAUGGUCGCAAGGCUGAAACUUAAAGGAUUUGACAGAAGGGCACCACCAGGAGUGGAGCCUGCGGCUUAAUUUGACUCCACAUGGGGAAACUUACCAGGUCCAGAUAUAGUAAGGAUUGACAGGCUGAGAGCUCUUACUUUAUUCUGUAGGUGGUGGUGCAUGGCCGUUCUUAGUUGGUGGAGUUAUAUGUCUUGUUAAUUUCGUUAACAAAUGAGACCUAAGCCUGCUAACUAGCUAUACGGAGGUAUCCCUUCGCCGCCAACUUCUUGGAGGGACGACAACCUUUUAGGCCGUGAAAGUUUGAGGUAAUAACAGGUCUGUUAUGCCCUUAGAUGUUCAGGGUCACACGCGCUCUACACUGAUGUAUUCAAUGAUUUUAUAACCUUGGCCCACAGUCCCUGGUGAUAUUUUAAAUUUCAUCAUCAUAGGGAUAGAUCAUUGAAAUUGUUGGUCUUUAAUGAGGAUAUUCUAGUAAGCGCAAGUCAUCAGCUCACAUUGAAUACAUCUCUACCCUUUGUACACACCGCCUAUCGCUCUUACCGAUUGAAUGAUCCGGUGAAAUAUUUGGAUCGCAAUAACGUAGGCGGUUCGCUGAUCGCGGUGUUGUGAGAAGUACAUUGAACCUUAUCAUUUAGAGGAAAGAGAAGUCGUAACAAGGUUUCCAUAGGUGAACAUGCGGAAG